Molecule: ribosomal RNA, 372 nt
Filed under: uncultured organism
Description: bacterial SSU rRNA
Rfam family: Bacterial small subunit ribosomal RNA
Source: RNAcentral
CGUAGGGGGCAAGCGUUGUCCGGAUUUAUUGGGCGUAAAGCGCUCGCAGGUGGUUCGCUGCGUCGUGCGUGAAAGACCCCGGCUCAACUGGGGAGGGUCGUGCGAUACGGGCGAACUGGAGGCCAGUAGGGGGAUGCGGAAUUCCGGGUGUAGUGGUGGAAUGCGUAGAGAUCCGGAGGAACACCAGCGGCGAAGGCGGCAUCCUGGACUGGUCCUGACACUCAUGAGCGAAAGCGUGGGGAGCGAUCCGGAUUAGAUACCCGGGUAGUCCACGCUGUAAACGAUGAGCACUAGGUGUCGGGGGUAUCGACCCCCUCGGUGCCGCAGCUAACGCGAUAAGUGCUCCGCCUGGGGACUACGGCCGCAAGGCUA